RNA transcript from Cynara cardunculus var. scolymus (artichoke), 3094 nucleotides. It is a transcript of the gene named heat shock factor protein HSF30-like, with no coding region annotated. Lineage: Eukaryota; Viridiplantae; Streptophyta; Magnoliopsida; Asterales; Asteraceae. The record is from RefSeq and is a predicted model, not a curated record. The transcript has 5 exons.
UGGAAAUGAAUCCUCUAGACCUUUCUGGAACUUGUCCACAUAUAUAAGUCACACCCACACGGUGCACCCCACGUACUGAGAGCUUAUAAACUCCUGCGUUCUUACUUGUACAGUACAAAUAAUCAAAGCAUGCCCAUAAAGCGACAAAAAAAAUCAUCAAGCAAUACCUGCAUUAGCGUAAUUCGAAAAUAUCACAUCAUGAUUCCAAGAACCAUCCUCUCUAACUAGAACCUUCUACUGAAUCCGUCUUAUCUCCUUCCCCUAUUAAUACUCUCUGAAAACAAAGUCCAAAUGUUAAACGACGCCAUUUCUGUCUUUCGUUGAUCAUCAUCAAGACCCUAAUCGGAAAAUUUGGAUUAAUGGAGUUCAAGACGGAAUUGCAAGGAGGAGCAAGUGUGAAAGAGGAGGACGUAACAUUUGUAUCGUCUACGAAUACUGCUGCAACUGCUGGUUCAUCGUCUUCAUCUUCUUCACCGCGGCCGAGGGAAGGGUUGCAUGAGGUAGGUCCACCGCCGUUUCUGACGAAAACAUAUGAUAUGGUGGAAGACCCAUCAACGGAUUCGGUGGUUUCGUGGAGUAGAGGAAGGAAUAGUUUUGUUGUUUGGGAUUCUUACAAGUUUUCCACAACUCUGCUUCCGAGGUAUUUUAAGCAUGGCAAUUUUUCUAGCUUCAUUCGCCAGCUUAAUACUUAUGGUUUCAGAAAAGUGGAUCCAGAUAGAUGGGAAUUUGCAAAUGAAGGGUUUCUUGGUGGUCAGAGGCAUCUCCUGAAGACGAUCAGAAGAAGAAGAAAUAUAGCGCAAUCCACCCAACAGAAGCAAGAAUAUGGUGUGUGCAUUGAAGUAGGCCAAUACGGGAUGGAGGAGGAGCUUGAAGCACUGAAAAGGGACAGGAGUUUGUUAAUGGCAGAAAUUGUGAGGCUGAGGCAACUACAGCAGCAUUCUAUAGACCAGCUCAUAGCCAUGGAAAACAGGUUAAGAACCACCGAAAGAAAGCAACAGAACAUGAUGGGUUUUCUCGCAAAAGCAUUCAGUAAUCCUGAAUUCCUACAAAGAUACAUGGAUAAGUAUGCACAGAAGGGGCAAGAUCAUAUUGAAAUUGGUCGGAAAAGGCGGUUAACGAUGGCACCAAGUGUGGAAAAUCUACAAGAAGUGGCUGGUGGUAUGAAGAACAUCCAACUGAAUGUUGAUUCGUUUCUUUUAGCACCUACUCCCGUUGAAGAUGAAUCAAGUAGCGAUGUGGGUAAUCAAGGAGAUGUUUCAAGCUUUGUGGAGGAUGAUUCCAGUGGGAAUUUGUGGGAGGAACUCUUGAAUGUAAAUCUUCCCAUUGAAAACGAGCCUGAAGAGUUUCUUGAUAGUUUAGAUGGUCAAAAUCUUGAUUGGGAUGAGGAUUUGCAAGAACUGGUGGAUCAGAUGGAGUAUCUAAGCAGGGGUGAGUGGAUUUGCAAGGAGGCCGGGCUGCUGUUCUCUUGUAUCCUUUUGUUGUUGGGACCGAAGAACCACAAGAACAACUUUAAGAAGGUUUCAUUCUUGAGAACCGUAUCUGUAGCAGAAUUGGUCUUGUGAAAGAAAGACAAGCAGACAUGGAACGAAGACUUGAGGUCCGUAUGAUGUAAUAAUCUUCAUAGGGUGUGUAUUGCAAUCUAAAAUCAAGACUUGGCUCGACAACUGCUUUUUUGUGUGCCAAGUCUUGAUGGGCUGCCACUUUGUGGAGUUUAGGGUUCUUGUGGGUUUAGUUGGUCCAAAGUUGAGAACUUAUAAAGAAAUCUUGAAUCUUGUGGAUGUUGAUAUCCGCUGUGGUAUGUAGAAAAUGAUUACAAAAGACUGCUUGUAAGAUUUGGGAAAUGAGAAAGUAAUCAAAGGCGUCCUUAAGACUCUUCGUGCUUCAUGGAUGCAACUUGAGAGAUCAUUUAGAUCAGAUCAAUGAGUGAUAAACAUAGAUAUGUCAAACUACAGUUUGGGAUCACUUGUGACUGCUGGUUGGAUUGUCAAGUAGGUUGCGAAGAAGAUACGAUAAUGUCAUCUUGAGGGCUAGCGCAACUAGCAAGAGUAACGACUAGGCCUCGGCGUAGAGAUGUAUAGAAGACUGACUUAACUGAUUUUGGACCGGUAAGGACUGAUUACCAAGCCGCUUUAGAAAUGUUCCCAAGGACCAGGUUACAGGCGAAAACCUCCAAAAGGCUUGGUCAGAGCCCAAAAAACCGGUCAAUACCCUAUUUUACCGCAACUAUUUUUUGUAACCAGAAAAAUAGAAGGAAUAUCAAUAUAAUAUUUGUGGUCAUCAAUAAUAAAAGAGAUAAUUAUGAAUGUUUUAAAGAAAAAAAAUAUCACUUACACUAAAAUAAGGUAACGUUUGAUAUAUAAACAUGACUAGAUUGGCCUGAACAAAACUGAACAUGACUGCAUGUAAGAAGUGUUUCUGGUGGUUGGCGUGACUAGGAUCGAAUAAGACUGGGUUAAAUAAGUUGCCCCUAAAUAUUGUUUACUGAUUUUAUGUUGUGAUAAUCGGUGGUAGUAGAAGAGGUGGUGAUUGUGGUGUAGGCUAUAAAGGUGGUGGUGGUGUUGGUGUUGAUGUUGAUGACAAUGGCAGAGGUAAAGGUGGUGGUGGCAAAGAUUUUGAUUCCAGUGAGGACAACUAUGAUCGUGGGAAGGUUCCAUGGGAACAAUCAUUUAUUUCAGGGUUCGCAGCCAACUCGUGAUGUGGAUGAUCCGUUGAAUCCAUUGUCGUGGUUCAUUGUUGUGCUUACACGCUAGACUACCCUUUUCCGAUGUUAAGUACUUCUUCCCAUUUCUUCUUAUAGAAUUAAGGGGCUGUUUGACAGUUGCUGAAUGAUUAGGUGCAGAAGAUUAAGUUGUCAAAAUGAUUAAAAGGCCCUCAUGAUAGAAUGCAAAAGGAAAUAUAAUUGUUUGGUAAUUGUUUAUAAUGAAAUUAGGCUUUUAAUGGUUAAGGGAAGCCCAUGAUACAAAAUCAUUCAGAAGGUUUUAGAACCAUUAAGAGAUAGAUUUUUUUCCAAACAAAAUUUAUGGGCUGUUUGACAGUUGCUGAAUGGUUUGGUGCAGAAUGAUUAAGUGGUAAAAAUGAUUAAGAUACUUUCAUG